UAUGCAUUAAUUCAGUGGUAUACGGUGAAAAAUCCGUUUUACGGAGUAUUGAAAUCGACCCUCAUAGUCAAUUAGUCACAGGCUCACAACUUUCUUCCUCCCUCGUACUUCUCCAUCCCUCAAUCUUUUAUUUUUGGUUUUAUUUCUUCUUUUUCCUCCUCCCAUUCGCUCAAUCAACCGCUCUCUCCUCUCUCCUCUCUCCCCCCUAUCUCUCUCUUCAUUGAAAGUGCAGCCGCAACUGCAACCACAUCCACAACUAUAAAAAAUGGCGGAAGAUCAUGAACUAGAGGAGAGAAAAGCUGGAAUUGUGGUGGUGUUCGAUACUCUGAUUAUGAGCUCAAUUUCGCCUAUCAAGCCCUAAUUUAUCUCAUGAAACUACAGCACUCUCAGGGUUUCAAGCCCAACAAAUUAUCCGUACAGAUAACGCAAGUGUGAAAAUUGAGAGAAUGGUAGGGAGCAUAAGUUUACAGUCACGGCUACUCUCCUCUUUUGUGGGCAGCGACCGUUUGAUCCACCCUUCGCAACACUUUCUUUCGCUCUUGUCCAGGCUGCUAACUACCUGAACAUCAAGAGUUUGUUGUUUCUAAUGCCUGCUGCUGCCACUGCUAACUGCUACUACUGUUGUUUGCUGCUACUACUAUCUGCUACUACUGCUGUUUGCUGCUACUGCCGUCUGCUGGGUGGCCUUGUUGUUUGCUGCUACUGCCGUCUGCUGGGUGGCCUGGUACUGCUGACUGCUGAUACUCCAAGCUACUGUCAUUUGUUGUUACUACUAGCUGCUGUUACUACCGCUGUCUGCUGGAUGGCCUGGUACUGCUGACUGCUGAUACUCCAAGCUGCUGUUAUUUGCUGGUACUGCUGACUUUUGUUACUACUAUUGGCUGUUACUAUUUGCUGCUGCUAUCGGCUGUUACUACCGGAUGUUACUACUAGUUGCUGCUAACGGCUGUUAAUUUUGCUUUUUCUGUUUUAGAAUUUGAUGGUCUAAUCUAGAGAGCAAAGUUGACUUUUUUUUUUUAAAAAAAAUAUGGUGUUUAUGGAAUUUUUUUUUUUUUAAGAUACUAUGAAAUUAUAUCAAUUUGAAUUA
This is a long non-coding RNA of Chenopodium quinoa (quinoa), 1087 nucleotides long. RefSeq lists it as uncharacterized. Lineage: Eukaryota; Viridiplantae; Streptophyta; Magnoliopsida; Caryophyllales; Amaranthaceae. The record is from RefSeq and is a predicted model, not a curated record. The transcript has 3 exons.